RNAcentral lists this ribosomal RNA (465 nucleotides) under uncultured bacterium. Its description in RNAcentral is "partial 16S ribosomal RNA". It matches the Rfam family "Bacterial small subunit ribosomal RNA", at positions 28 to 507 of the family's 1533-position model. The record is from RNAcentral.
GACGAACGCUGGCGGCGUGCUUAACACAUGCAAGUCGAACGGAAAGGCCCUGCUUGCAGGGUACUCGAGUGGCGAACGGGUGAGUAACACGUGGGUGAUCUGUCCUGCACUUCGGGAUAAGCCUGGGAAACUGGGUCUAAUACCGGAUAGGAGCCAUUUUUAGUGUGAUGGUUGGAAAGUUUUUUCGGUGUAGGAUGAGCUCGCGGCCUAUCAGCUUGCUGGUGGGGUAAUGGCCUACCAAGGCGGCGACGGGUAGCCGGCCUGAGAGGGUGGAUGGCCACAUUGGGACUGAGAUACGGCCCAGACUCCUACGGGAGGCAGCAGUGGGGAAUAUUGCACAAUGGGCGCAAGCCUGAUGCAGCGACGCCGCGUGGGGGAUGACGGCCUUCGGGUUGUAAACUCCUUUCGCUAGGGACGAAGCUUUUUGUGACGGUACCUAGAUAAGAAGCACCGGCUAACUACGUG